GCCAGGCAUGGUGGCUCAUGCCUGCAAUCCUAACAGUUUGGGAGGCUGAGGUAGGAGGAUCACAAGUUCAAAGCCAGCCUCAACUCAGUGAGACCCUGUCUCUA
Molecule: small RNA, 104 nt
Filed under: Marmota monax (woodchuck)
Lineage: Eukaryota; Metazoa; Chordata; Mammalia; Rodentia; Sciuridae
Source: RNAcentral